Long non-coding RNA from Drosophila bipectinata, 1501 nucleotides. RefSeq lists it as uncharacterized. NCBI's taxonomy places the organism in Eukaryota, Metazoa, Arthropoda, Insecta, Diptera, Drosophilidae. The record is from RefSeq and is a predicted model, not a curated record.
UGAUAAAUUAAGAGCCAUUCAUCGGUUGAAAAGGGUUCGCUGGACUAAAGCAAAGUAAAGCAACCUUUUGUCAGAUUCUUUUGUUAGCCAACGACUCUACUUUCUUCCAAAAAUAUAUUUGUGUAUCUUUUCCCAAAAUGAACAUCCAAUCACAACUGUUACAAAAUACAAAACAAGCCUACAUUUUUGGAGGGGGAAAAGGGUCAUCUAGUUCGAUACUCCCUAUGGAAUUUUCAUUAAUCAAUGGAACCACUUUGCAUAUCAUAGUGUGUGAAAAGGCAACAACAGAUAUGGAAAUUGUGAAUGGGUUUGCUGACCAGUCAAUAUCCAUCGAAAGAGCGAAAUAUUUCCACCUUUAUGCAUUCAGGCAUCGCCAUCAGAAAUAAAAUAAAUAAAUGUAAACUGCCGAACAAAGUGCAACAAAAUAUAAUCAAGAUUGCCUGUCAAAAUAUCCGCCAACGGCCCGUGCAGCACGUGCCCAUGGAAAAUUCUUGAAUUUUCAUCGAUUUUUUGUUUCCCUGAACGUUAGCUUUAUUAUUAUUAUCUGUGAACUGUGAAUUUCCGUCUGCCGUGUGCAAAUUGGAUAAUAGAGCAGUAAAUUAAAUUUUCCGCCCCCCAUCCAUUGGGGGAUUGAGUGAAAAUGUGUAAUUACAGGCAGACAGGUAGCCACAAAAAAUUCCCACCCCCGCCCACAAUUGUCCUUCAGUUCGGUAUGGUAAUUAAAUUGAAUGACAUGUGGGGCUACUUGCUGAAAACCAUAUCUAAACAUAUUCUUUGAAUAUAAUAAAGAGAAUUUGCUUUAAAAAAUUAUUUUUGCUUAUAUAAGCGAUUAGUUCCAUAAGUUCUGGCUUAAAUAUAAAUUUCAUCGAAUAAUAAAAAACUUUACCCUCCACAUUUUUGAAUUAGUUAAUAUAAUUUAAACUCAUUCGGGUUUGUUAAUUCGACUAAGGAAAAUGAUGUUUAUUUCGCUAAUCGUCUGGCUUUCGGUGAAUAUUUUUUGGGGUAAAAAUAUGGAAGCCAUUUCGGCUCCUCCUGACACGCCUCCACAGGAUACCCCCUCGUGUCCACGUGGUCAACACUUUGUACCAGAUUUUGGAAAAUGUGUCAGAAUUCCGAAAAUUAUGACGGGAGGAAACAAGGGAGGUCCCAUGUCCCUCUGUCCAGACAAUUCAUGGCUUCUUCUGCAUGAUGCGUGUAUCAGUGUUUACAGAUACGUAGAGGGAAUGUUUGACUGUGAUACCGGGAAUUUGUUACUACAACAUAUUAUAAAUUGUCAGAGCAGAAAGAAACCAAAAAAAGACAACAAGAAAAAAAAUAAAUGUAAAGGAGCUAAGGAAUGGGACCCUGCGACUAAAAAAUGCGUUUCAAAAACUACUUUGGAUCCAUAUGAUGAUAUCGAUGAGUAACUAUUUCAAUCUAAUUUAAAAAUAAAAAUAGUGUCAAUAAUGGUCACUUAUUGUUUAUCAAAUGGUCUGAAAUAAAUUUUUUGUAUGAAAUCAAA